GGUUUUAGCCAUUUAUGCCGCUGACUUUGUGUGUUUUUGUUUUGAGUUUAGUUGUUCUUCGUGAUUGUUGGCUGCUCUGCGUUUUCUCUUUUGGGUUGGUGUCGUUUUGAUAUCCCAAUAGGUUUGGCUUAUGGUGUUCUUGAUUUGGGUCUUUGUGUUGGUGUUGGUGGCAACGACUCUUGGUUGGUUUAGGGGUUGUCGUUUCGGUUGUGGUUGAUGCGACGAAGUUUAUUGUUGAGA
RNAcentral lists this long non-coding RNA (240 nucleotides) under Trifolium pratense (red clover). RNAcentral describes it as "long non-coding RNA (TPRA_LNC000171)". The record is from RNAcentral. Lineage: Eukaryota; Viridiplantae; Streptophyta; Magnoliopsida; Fabales; Fabaceae.